Molecule: long non-coding RNA, 2069 nt
Organism: Biomphalaria glabrata
Lineage: Eukaryota; Metazoa; Mollusca; Gastropoda; Planorbidae
Exons: 4
Source: RefSeq, a predicted model, not a curated record
UGUAGCACAGUGUGAGUUUAAUACCUAAAUUACACCUGUUCUCUUGUUCCAAGGUCACAAGUGCUGUGCUUAUGAACCAACUCUGUAUAUAACAAGCUAGAGUCUUCUAGAAACCUCAUAGCCUUUUUUUUAAAUCAAAUUUGUAAACUCAAUUAUCGGUAGUGUAUUUGAGUAGUUUAGUUUAGAGAUUACGUUCGGUGUUUGUAAAUGAAUAUAUUCGUGUAUUGUUUUUAGUGACGGUAAAAAGUAGUGACGUAGUCAGACAGACGAAUGUCGUACACGGAGAAGUAGAUGGCUAGAGAUAAGAGAAGGUUGAAUAGUGCAAGAGACGAAUAAGAAGGAUAGGGAGACGAGACCAGCAUCCAAAUUUCUUUCAACUUGGUUACUAUUGCGUAUACGUUAAAACUGGUCUCUUCUCCAUCGCUUGGUGUUUCUAUUUGGGUGUGCGGCCAUUUUGUUACUACCCUGUUGCCAGGGACUUGGGUUUUAGACACAGUUGCUAGAGUCUAGCUUGUUCUGGGUUGAGCUACCCAGUGUCGACCCACUGUGGACCCGAUGUUGAUCUCUUCAUGUCGAUGGAGAUUUACUGUUUGAGCUUGGAUGUGCCAUGUUUGGUUGUGGGCAGUGUCGGCCCGUGUGGUGGCAACAGCAGUUGUAUCCAAGACCUUGGAAUCUAUUGCAGAUAAUAUAGAGGUCAUCUGUUUGUAUGGCGGAGGUUAACUAUGGUGUCUCGUGGCCAGCACCACAACUAACCGCUUUUACAUUUCCCAACUUCAGCAAGAUUCAACAAGAUUCAAACCCGAGAUCCCUCGGAUAGAAAGUAAAGUAGUCAACAACACACCUCCAAAGUCAAGAGACCUAGAUGAAAAUCGCCAAUGAAGAAGAAAACUUUUUUUUUUGUAGGAUUGGAUUUAAUAUUUGUUGGUAACUUGCUUUAAUUUUCUUUUAAACUUCUUUACUACAAUCAGGUACACUGUAUGCAUUUAAAGUCUGAUUUUUAUAGCGAAAAUCUAUUCUAUAGAUUUUAAUGCUCCGUAUCCUUAUAACAUUAAAUUUAAAUAAUGUAUUCAAUAUGGCGUCAAAGGAAAAAAAUUCCACUACGUCACGCAGCCUAGUUAGGCUAACGUAAUAUCUAUUUCAACACCAGAGAGUUUACCAGAUUCCUUAGAUUUUAAUGCUCCGAGUUCUUAGAACAUUUGAUUUCAAUAAGUUAAUAAGUUGCGGACAUGUUUACUAUUAUUAUAGCUUUAAUAUAGCGCUACUUUCAUGCUCAGAGCGCUUUUGGACCAGUGGGGGAAUGGGUAUCUAAGGGUUAGGUGUCGAGCCAAGCCAAGUCAAGAUCAAGCGCACUUGGCCUCUCGACCACGCUUCCCACUGUGCUUUUUAUCAUCAUUACCUUUAUUUUCAACACCUCUUUCACCUUAUGUUAAAAGUGUUGCUCCUCCAGUGCUUGUUUAUAUUUUAUAUGUGUAUAAAAUAUCUCCAAAGACAAACAUAUGGUAUUCUACAUUGCGUAUUUCUCUGCCUGCAGCAUUUGCAACUUGUCCAGCUGUGUUUGCCCAUUUUGUCAACAUCUUGCCAGAAAUCUCUUUUAUGGAACGUUCAUGUUUCGAACAUUUAUAACGGCAGCCGUUGCGGCUUUAGCUACUCUAGGAGCCCAUUUUGCAACUCUUUCCCAGAAAUUUCUUUUAUUCAAAGCCAGUGAAAAGUCUUUGGUUCUAAUAUCUCUACCGUUAGCAGUUGUCUUGAUAUUUGAAGCAAGCUAGUUGAGCCAUUUUGCAACUUUUUCCCAAAAGUCUCUUUUCUAAAAGAAAAUCUUAAAAAAAACGUCAAUUCUCAAUGGGUUACGUAAAUAUAUAAUAGUGAUGUCGAAAUUACGGCACGCUGACCUUAUUUGGGACCUGACGUUAUUCUCUACUGCUCUUAAAAAAAAGCUUCUACUUCAGAAACUAUUGUAUCUGCAGAUAGUUCGUUUUAAUGGAUUAUACGGUCUUAUGCGAUGCUGAUUUGUAUACAAUAAGCAACAGCUUAAAAACAAGAAAAAUAUUUUAAAAACAUACUUUAAAGAA